AAGGCAGAGGAGGAAGAAUGAGUGGCUUACUCAGACCUCUCACUCUCUUCUCUGUCUUGGA
This 61-nucleotide microRNA precursor is filed under the name Monodelphis domestica (gray short-tailed opossum). Its description in RNAcentral is "microRNA mdo-mir-12328 precursor". Lineage: Eukaryota; Metazoa; Chordata; Mammalia; Didelphimorphia; Didelphidae. The record is from miRBase by way of RNAcentral.